RNAcentral lists this ribosomal RNA (459 nucleotides) under uncultured bacterium. Its description in RNAcentral is "partial 16S ribosomal RNA". It matches the Rfam family "Bacterial small subunit ribosomal RNA", at positions 338 to 795 of the family's 1533-position model. The record is from RNAcentral.
CCUACGGGGGACAGCAGUGAGGAAUAUUGGUCAAUGGCCGGAAGGCUGAACCAGCCAUGCCGCGUGAAGGUCAGUGCCCUCUGGGCGUUAAACUUCUUUUGUGCGGGAGCAAUAAUGGUCACGUGUGGCCAGACGAGAGUACCGUACGAAUAAGCAUCGACUCACUCCGUGCCAGCAGCCGCGGUAAUACGGGGAGGCAAGCCUUAACCGGAAUUUUUGGGUUUAAAGGGUGCCUAGGCUGUGAGGUUAGUGAGCGGUGAAAUGCCCCCGCUCAACGGGCUGAAGUGCCAUUGAUACUGCCUUGCUGGAAUGCGGAUGCGGUGGGAGGAAUGUGUGGUGUAGCGGUGAAAUGCAUAGAUAUCACACAGAACACCGAUUGCGAAGGCAUCUCACGAAUCCGCGAUUGACGCUGAUGCACGAAAGCGUGGGUAUCAAACAGGAUUAGAUACCCCUGUAGUC